UGGGGAAUAUUGGACAAUGGGGGAAACCCUGAUCCAGCAAUGCCGCGUGUGCGAUGAAGGCCUGCGGGUUGUAAAGCACUUUCGGUGGCAAAGAAAGUCUCAAAUAUAAUACAUUUGGGAUCUGACAUUAGCCACAGAAGAAGCACCGGCAAACUCUGUGCCAGCAGCCGCGGUAAUACAGAGGGUGCAAGCGUUAAUCGGAGUUACUGGGCGUAAAGGGCGCGUAGGCUGGUAUUUAAGUCGAUUGUGAAAUCCCUGGGCUCAACCGAGGAAUUGCAGUCGAUACUGAAGAUCUUGAGUAUGGUAGAGGAAAGUGGAAUUCUCGGUGUAGUGGUUAAAUACGUAGAUAUCGAGAAGAACAUCGGUGGCGAAGGCGGCUUUCUGGCCCAAUACUGACGCUGAGGCGCGAAAGCGUGGGGAGCAAACA
This 427-nucleotide ribosomal RNA is filed under the name uncultured prokaryote. RNAcentral's name for it is "bacterial SSU rRNA". It matches the Rfam family "Bacterial small subunit ribosomal RNA", at positions 355 to 774 of the family's 1533-position model. The record is from RNAcentral.